Molecule: non-coding RNA, 129 nt
Filed under: Fistulifera solaris
Lineage: Eukaryota; Bacillariophyta; Bacillariophyceae; Naviculales; Stauroneidaceae
Description: TPP sequence
Rfam family: TPP riboswitch aptamer (THI element)
About the family: Vitamin B(1) in its active form thiamin pyrophosphate (TPP) is an essential coenzyme that is synthesised by coupling of pyrimidine and thiazole moieties in bacteria. The previously detected thiamin-regulatory element, thi box was extended, resulting in a new, highly conserved RNA secondary structure, the THI element, which is widely distributed in eubacteria and also occurs in some archaea. Analysis of operon structures identified a large number of new candidate thiamin-regulated genes, mostly transporters, in various prokaryotic organisms.
Source: Rfam by way of RNAcentral
CACUUUUGCCGCGGGAGCUUUGUGAUGUGGGUAAUGGCUGAGAAAUUAAUGGAGUCGAAAGAUUCUUUGUUGACCGUUCGAACCUGAACAUGGUAAUGCAUGCGAAAGGGAAGGCAAAAGUAUUAUGAA